Molecule: ribosomal RNA, 560 nt
Filed under: Pichia norvegensis
Lineage: Eukaryota; Fungi; Ascomycota; Pichiomycetes; Pichiales; Pichiaceae
Description: partial large subunit ribosomal RNA
Rfam family: Eukaryotic large subunit ribosomal RNA
Source: RNAcentral
UGAGCGGCAAGAGCUCAGAUUUGAAAUCGCAGCGGCAACGCGGCGAGUUGUAGAUUGCAGGUGGGAGAGUUUGCGGGCGGCGGGCGUCGAAGUCCCUUGGAACAGGGCGCCACUGAGGGUGAGAGCCCCGUGCGAUGCCUGCCCAUGCUUUGAACUCCCCUCUGACGAGUCGAGUUGUUUGGGAAUGCAGCUCUAAGCGGGUGGUAAAUUCCAUCUAAGGCUAAAUACUGGCGAGAGACCGAUAGCGAACAAGUACUGUGAAGGAAAGAUGAAAAGCACUUUGAAAAGAGAGUGAAACAGCACGUGAAAUUGUUGAAAGGGAAGGGUAUUGGGCCCGACAUGGGAAUCGCGCACCGCUGCUCCUCGUGGGCGGCGCUCUGCGCUUUUCCUGGGCCAGCAUCGGUUUCCGCUGCAGGAGAAGGGGCUGUGGAAUGUGGCUGGCACGCUUGCGCGCCAGUGUUAUAGCCACGGGCCAGAUGCUGCGUGUGGGGACCGAGGGCUGCGACGGCAACGUCUCGGAUGCUGGCACAACGGCGCAAUACCGCCCGUCUUGAAACACG